UGGGGAAUAUUGGACAAUGGGCGCAAGCCUGAUCCAGCCAUGCCGCGUGUGUGAAGAAGGCCUUCGGGUUGUAAAGCACUUUCAGUUGGGAGGAAGGGUUGUGUGUUAAUAGUACACAGCCUUGACGUUACCAACAGAAGAAGCACCGGCUAACUCUGUGCCAGCAGCCGCGGUAAUACAGAGGGUGCAAGCGUUAAUCGGAAUUACUGGGCGUAAAGCGCACGUAGGCGGGUUUUUAAGUCAGAUGUGAAAGCCCCGGGCUCAACCUGGGAAUUGCAUUUGAAACUGGAAAACUAGAGUGUGUGAGAGGGGGGUAGAAUUCCAAGUGUAGCGGUGAAAUGCGUAGAGAUUUGGAGGAAUACCAGUGGCGAAGGCGGCCCCCUGGCACAACACUGACGCUCAGGUGCGAAAGCGUGGGGAGCAAACAGGAUUAGAUACCCUGGUAGUCCACGCCGUAAACGAUGUCUACUAGCUGUUCGUGACCUUGUGUCGUGAGUAGCGCAGCUAACGCACUAAGUAGACCGCCUGGGGAGUACGGUCGCAAGAUUA
RNAcentral lists this ribosomal RNA (549 nucleotides) under uncultured bacterium. Its description in RNAcentral is "bacterial SSU rRNA". It matches the Rfam family "Bacterial small subunit ribosomal RNA", at positions 355 to 896 of the family's 1533-position model. The record is from RNAcentral.